Molecule: unclassified non-coding RNA, 314 nt
Filed under: uncultured bacterium
Lineage: Bacteria
Description: partial 16S-23S ribosomal RNA intergenic spacer
Source: RNAcentral
AGGAGUCUUCGUAUCUGCUGAUCAUCGGCACUUGUCCGGUGACAGUGGGGAGACAACCUAGUUGAUCGCCAGUCGGCCGGUCCCCGUUUGAGUGUCGAAUAGAGGGCUCGCCUUCUUCGAUGCUGGGACGAGGUCCGGUCCUUCCUCUAUUCCGUUCUCUGGGAGCAUUUGCUCUCUGUGGAGGCAACGCCCUGUCAGCGGCGCCCUCCCGUGUCGUCCCUGGUGACGAUGACCUGAUCGUUGAGAGUUGCAUAGCGAGCACGAGCAUCUUCGUCGUAUUCAAGCUACGAAGAGCCAACGGUGGAUGCCUUGGC